This 238-nucleotide ribosomal RNA is filed under the name uncultured bacterium. RNAcentral's name for it is "partial 16S ribosomal RNA". It matches the Rfam family "Bacterial small subunit ribosomal RNA", at positions 539 to 776 of the family's 1533-position model. The record is from RNAcentral.
CGUUGUCCGGAAUUAUUGGGCGUAAAGAGCUCGUAGGCGGUCUGACAAGUCUGAUGUGAAAUCUAUGGGCUCAACCCAUAGUCUGCAUCGGAAACUGUCGGGCUUGAGUAUGGGAGAGGUGAGUGGAAUUUCCGGUGUAGCGGUGAAAUGCGUAGAUAUCGGAAGGAACACCUGUGGCGAAAGCGGCUCACUGGACCAUUACUGACGCUGAGGCACGAAAGCUAGGGGAGCAAACAGG